Molecule: ribosomal RNA, 474 nt
Filed under: uncultured organism
Description: partial 16S ribosomal RNA
Rfam family: Bacterial small subunit ribosomal RNA
Source: RNAcentral
ACUCCUACGGGAGGCAGCAGUGGGGAAUUUUGGACAAUGGGGGCAACCCUGGUCCAGCAAUGCCGCGUGAGUGAAGAAGGCCUUCGGGUUGUAAAGCUCUUUUGUCAGGGAAGAAACGGUAGUAGCGAAUAACUAUUACUAAUGACGGUACCUGAAGAAUAAGCACCGGCUAACUACGUGCCAGCAGCCGCGGUAAUACGUAGGGUGCAAGCGUUAAUCGGAAUUACUGGGCGUAAAGCGUGCGCAGGCGGUUGUGUAAGUCAGAUGUGAAAUCCCCGGGCUCAACCUGGGAAUUGCAUUUGAGACUGCACGGCUAGAGUGUGUCAGAGGGGGGUAGAAUUCCACGUGUAGCAGUGAAAUGCGUAGAUAUGUGGAGGAAUACCGAUGGCGAAGGCAGCCCCCUGGGAUAACACUGACGCUCAUGCACGAAAGCGUGGGGAGCAAACAGGAUUAGAUACCCGAGUAGUCCCAUGA